Vespa mandarinia (Asian giant hornet) is the source of this 474-nucleotide long non-coding RNA. NCBI's taxonomy places the organism in Eukaryota, Metazoa, Arthropoda, Insecta, Hymenoptera, Vespidae. The record is from RefSeq and is a predicted model, not a curated record.
AAAAUAUGUUGCAUUUAUACACAAUAUUUUUGGAACUGUUUCCUCCGAUGGUAAUGCCAUGAUAUGGUUAAAAUUAACGUCAAAUACUAUUACGAUAAUCAACAACACACGUUGCUAGGUUAUGGUAUCGUAUAUAUUUUGCUUACUAAAAAAAAAAAAAAAAAAAAAAAAAAAAAAAAAAAAAAAAAAAAACCACGAAGAUAAGAUGUAUCGCACGUGAACGAGAUCUAUGCCCUGUUGAUCGACUAGAAAUGGAAUUUUAUUUCGAUGGUAUAAAAUCCCUGUUGUCUAAUAAUUUACGAUUAGAAAUGUUCGUGAUCAUGUUUAUUACAGGUAUCGCGUUUAAUACACGAUGAGAGAAUAUCCUCGAAAGCGAUGAAAAUGAUGAAAGUGUAAGAUGGCAGUACGAUAUUAUAUUUAACAUGAAUCGAAGACUUUUGUGCUUUAAAAAAGAACUUAUAUUAUUCAAAAAAG